UAAGGAAUAUUGGUCAAUGGAGGCAACUCUGAACCAGCCAUGCCGCGUGCAGGAAGACGGCCCUAUGGGUUGUAAACUGCUUUUAUCCGGGAAUAAACCUCUGCUCGUGAGCAGAGCUGAAUGUACCGGAAGAAUAAGGAUCGGCUAACUCCGUGCCAGCAGCCGCGGUAAUACGGAGGAUCCAAGCGUUAUCCGGAUUUAUUGGGUUUAAAGGGUGCGUAGGCGGCAGUUUAAGUCAGAGGUGAAAGACGGUAGCUCAACUAUCGCAGUGCCUUUGAUACUGAAUUGCUUGAAUGAACUAGAGGUAGGCGGAAUGAGACAAGUAGCGGUGAAAUGCAUAGAUAUGUCUCAGAACACCGAUUGCGAAGGCAGCUUACUAUGGUUUUAUUGACGCUGAGGCACGAAAGCGUGGGGAUCAAACAGG
This 424-nucleotide ribosomal RNA is filed under the name uncultured bacterium. RNAcentral describes it as "bacterial SSU rRNA". It matches the Rfam family "Bacterial small subunit ribosomal RNA", at positions 355 to 776 of the family's 1533-position model. The record is from RNAcentral.